This 96-nucleotide Y RNA is filed under the name Microcebus murinus (gray mouse lemur). RNAcentral describes it as "Y RNA (ENSMICG00000044900.1)". It matches the Rfam family "Y RNA". Rfam says of the family: Y RNAs are components of the Ro ribonucleoprotein particle (Ro RNP), in association with Ro60 and La proteins. Lineage: Eukaryota; Metazoa; Chordata; Mammalia; Primates; Cheirogaleidae. The record is from Rfam by way of RNAcentral.
GGCUGGUCCAAUGGUGGUGGGUUAUCAGAACUUAUUAACAUUAGUGUCACUAAAGUUGGUAUUCAUCUUCCCACUGCUAAAUUUCAGUGGCUUUAA